Molecule: ribosomal RNA, 346 nt
Filed under: Curtobacterium sp.
Lineage: Bacteria; Bacillati; Actinomycetota; Actinomycetes; Micrococcales; Microbacteriaceae
Description: bacterial SSU rRNA
Rfam family: Bacterial small subunit ribosomal RNA
Source: RNAcentral
CCCGCACAGCGGCGGAGCAUGCGGAUUAAUUCGAUGCAACGCGAAGAACCUUACCAAGGCUUGACAUACACCGGAAACGGCCAGAGAUGGUCGCCCCCUUGUGGUCGGUGUACAUGGUGGUGCAUGGUUGUCGUCAGCUCGUUCGUGAGAUGUUGGGUUAAGUCCCGCAACGAGCGCAACCCUCGUUCUAUGUUGCCAGCGGGUCAUGCCGGGGACUCAUAGGAGACUGCCGGGGUCAACUCGGAGGAAGGUGGGGAUGACGUCAAAUCAUCAUGCCCCUUAUGUCUUGGGCUUCACGCAUGCUACAAUGGCCGGUACAAAGGGCUGCGAUACCGUAAUGGUGGAG